CGAGCGCGGGAAGCGAACGGAACUCUUCGGAGGGAAGUUCGUGGAACGAGCGGCGGACGGGUGAGUAACACGUAGGCAACCUGCCUGUAAGACUGGGAUAACUCGCGGAAACGCGAGCUAAUACCGGAUAACACUUUCUAUCACCUGAUGGAAAGUUGAAAGGCGGCUUUUGCUGUCACUUACAGAUGGGCCUGCGGCGCAUUAGCUAGUUGGUGAGGUAACGGCUCACCAAGGCGACGAUGCGUAGCCGACCUGAGAGGGUGAUCGGCCACACUGGGACUGAGACACGGCCCAGACUCCUACGGGAGGCAGCAGUAGGGAAUCUUCCGCAAUGGACGAAAGUCUGACGGAGCAACGCCGCGUGAGUGAUGAAGGUUUUCGGAUCGUAAAACUCUGUUGUCAGGGAAGAACAAGUACGAUAGUAACUGAUCGUACCUUGACGGUACCUGACCAGAAAGCCACGGCUAACUACGUGCCAGCAGCCGCGGUAAUACGUAGGUGGCAAGCGUUGUCCGGAAUUAUUGGGCGUAAAGCGCUCGCAGGCGGUUCUUUAAGUCUGAUGUGAAAUCUUGCGGCUCAACCGCAAACGUGCAUUGGAAACUGGAGGACUUGAGUGCAGAAGAGGAGAGUGGAAUUCCACGUGUAGCGGUGAAAUGCGUAGAGAUGUGGAGGAACACCAGUGGCGAAGGCGACUCUCUGGUCUGUAACUGACGCUGAGGAGCGAAAGCGUGGGGAGCGAACAGGAUUAGAUACCCUGGUAGUCCACGCCGUAAACGAUGAGUGCUAGGUGUUAGGGGGUUUCCGCCCCUUAGUGCUGAAGUUAACG
Molecule: ribosomal RNA, 826 nt
Filed under: Oceanobacillus oncorhynchi subsp. incaldanensis
Lineage: Bacteria; Bacillati; Bacillota; Bacilli; Caryophanales; Bacillaceae
Description: bacterial SSU rRNA
Rfam family: Bacterial small subunit ribosomal RNA
Source: RNAcentral